GGUUGUGUAGUGUAGUGGCUAUCACUCCGGAUUUUGAUCCUCACCCUUCCGGCGACCCCGGUUCGAACCCGGGCACGAUCU
Glutinoglossum americanum is the source of this 81-nucleotide non-coding RNA. Lineage: Eukaryota; Fungi; Ascomycota; Geoglossomycetes; Geoglossales; Geoglossaceae. The record is from the annotation of a GenBank genome assembly.